GGAAUCUUCCACAAUGGGCGCAAGCCUGAUGGAGCAACACCGCGUGAGUGAAGAAGGGGUUUCGGCUCGUAAAGCUCUGUUGUUAAAGAAGAACACGUAUGAGAGUAACUGUUCAUACGUUGACGGUAUUUUAACCAGAAAGUCACGGCUAACUACGUGCCAG
Molecule: ribosomal RNA, 163 nt
Filed under: uncultured bacterium
Lineage: Bacteria
Description: partial 16S rRNA
Rfam family: Bacterial small subunit ribosomal RNA
Source: RNAcentral